GGAGCGGUGGCCGAGUGGUUGAAGGCACCAGUCUUGAAAACUGGCGAACUCGCAAGGGUUUCGUGGGUUCGAAUCCCACCCGCUCCGCCA
RNAcentral lists this transfer RNA (90 nucleotides) under Neoroseomonas eburnea. RNAcentral's name for it is "tRNA-Ser". It matches the Rfam family "tRNA". From Rfam's summary of the family: Transfer RNA (tRNA) molecules are approximately 80 nucleotides in length. Lineage: Bacteria; Pseudomonadati; Pseudomonadota; Alphaproteobacteria; Acetobacterales; Acetobacteraceae. The record is from RNAcentral.